This 492-nucleotide ribosomal RNA is filed under the name uncultured bacterium. RNAcentral describes it as "partial 16S ribosomal RNA". It matches the Rfam family "Bacterial small subunit ribosomal RNA", at positions 29 to 507 of the family's 1533-position model. The record is from RNAcentral.
AGUGAACGCUGGCGGUAUGCCUAACACAUGCAAGUCGAACGGCAGCACAGUAAGAGCUUGCUCUUACGGGUGGCGAGUGGCGGACGGGUGCGGAAUACAUCGGAAUCUACUUUUUCGUGGGUGAUAACGUAGGGAAACUUACGCUAAUACCGCAUACGACCUACGGGUGAAAGCAGGUGAUCUUCGGACCUUGCGCGAUUGAAUGAGCCGAUGUCGGAUUAGCUAGUUGGCGGGGUAAAGGCCCACCCAGGCGACGAUCCGUAGCUGGUCUGAGAGGAUGACCAGCCACACUGGAACUGAGACACGGUCCAGACUCCUACGGGAGGCAGCAGUGGGGAAUAUUGGACAAUGGGCGCAAGCCUGAUCCAGCCAUACCGCGUGGGUGAAGAAGGCCUUCGGGUUGUAAAGCCCUUUUGUUGGGAAAGAAAAGCAGCAGGUUAAUACCCCGCUGUUCUGACGGUACCCAAAGAAUAAGCACCGGCUAACUUCGUG